GUAUUCUUUUGUGUAUGAUUACUCAUGGGUCAACCCCUCUUUCAGUCAAUCUCCAAUAGUGCCAUCCGGAACAACACAGGUUGGGACAAAAAAUGCUGCCAUGGUACCGAGUACCGGCGUGUUCAAUAAUGAUCCUUCCGCAGGUUCACCUACGGAAA
This 158-nucleotide unclassified non-coding RNA is filed under the name uncultured fungus. RNAcentral's name for it is "sequence contains ITS1". The record is from RNAcentral. Lineage: Eukaryota; Fungi.